UGCAACCUGAGCUCAGGCGUGACUACCCGCUGAACUUAAGCAUAUCAUUUAGCGGAGGAAAAGAAACUAA
RNAcentral lists this ribosomal RNA (70 nucleotides) under Ancylostoma duodenale. RNAcentral's name for it is "partial 28S ribosomal RNA". It matches the Rfam family "Eukaryotic large subunit ribosomal RNA", at positions 1 to 68 of the family's 3401-position model. The record is from RNAcentral. Lineage: Eukaryota; Metazoa; Nematoda; Chromadorea; Rhabditida; Ancylostomatidae.